AUGCGGUCAAAUCACGAUGAAAGCACUGGUUCUCGUCCGAUCACCGAAGUUUAGCAUUGUACAGCCAGGUCAGUAUUUUAGAUGGGGGACCGCUUGGCAAUCCCUGGUACUGUAAG
Molecule: non-coding RNA, 116 nt
Organism: Acanthosepion pharaonis
Lineage: Eukaryota; Metazoa; Mollusca; Cephalopoda; Sepiida; Sepiidae
Source: the annotation of a GenBank genome assembly